This 665-nucleotide ribosomal RNA is filed under the name endosymbiont of Sphenophorus levis. Its description in RNAcentral is "bacterial SSU rRNA". It matches the Rfam family "Bacterial small subunit ribosomal RNA", at positions 367 to 1023 of the family's 1533-position model. The record is from RNAcentral. Lineage: Bacteria; Pseudomonadati; Pseudomonadota; Gammaproteobacteria.
CACAAUGGGGGAAACCCUGCAUGCAGCUAUACCCGCGUGUGUGAUGAAGGUCUUAGGAUUGUAAAACACUUUCAGCAAGGGAAAAAAUUAAUAUAAAUAAUACUUAUAUUAACUGAUAUUACCUGCAAAAGAAGUACCGGCUAACUCCGUGCCAGCAGCCGCGGUAAUACGGAGGGUACAAGCGUUAAUCGGAAUUAUUGGGCGUAAAGAGUACGUAGGUGGUAUAUUAAGUCAGAUGCGAAAUACUUAAGCUUAACUUAAGAACUGCAUUUGAAACUAAUAAACUAGAGUUUUAUAGAGGGGAGUAGAAUUCCAAGUGUAGCGGUGAAAUGCGUAGAUAUUUGGAGGAAUACCAGAGGCGAAGGCGACUCCCUGGGUAAUAACUGACACUGAGGUACGAAAGCUUGGGGAGCAAACAGGAUUAGAUACCCUGGUAGUCCAUGCUGUAAACGAUGUCAAUUUGAAGAUUGUAAUAUUAUUAUUUUUUAUAAUUUUCGUAGCUAACGCAUUAAAUUGACCGCCUGGGGAUUACGACCGCAAGGUUAAAACUCAAAUGAAUUGACGGGGACCCGCACAAGCGGUGGAGCAUGUGGUUUAAUUCGAAUACCACGGCGAAAAACUUACCUACUCUUGACAUCUAAUAAGUUAAAUAAAAGGCAGAAAAU